This is an unclassified non-coding RNA of Papio anubis (olive baboon), 222 nucleotides long. It matches the Rfam family "Metazoan signal recognition particle RNA". Rfam says of the family: The signal recognition particle (SRP) is a universally conserved ribonucleoprotein. It is involved in the co-translational targeting of proteins to membranes. The eukaryotic SRP consists of a 300-nucleotide 7S RNA and six proteins: SRPs 72, 68, 54, 19, 14, and 9. NCBI's taxonomy places the organism in Eukaryota, Metazoa, Chordata, Mammalia, Primates, Cercopithecidae. The record is from Ensembl.
GCCAGGUGUGGUGGCGGAUGCCUGUAAUCCCAGCUAUUCGGGAGGCUGAGGCAGGAGAAUCGCUUGAAUCUGGGAGGCAGAGGUUGCAGUGAGCCAAAAUCGUGCCACUGCACUCCAGCCUGGGUGAUAGAGCUGAUUCUGUCGCCAGGCUGGAGUGCGGUGGCACGAUCUCAGGUCACUGCAACUUCCAUCUCCCGGGUUCAAGCAAUUCCCCUGCCUCAG